RNAcentral lists this ribosomal RNA (492 nucleotides) under uncultured bacterium. Its description in RNAcentral is "partial 16S ribosomal RNA". It matches the Rfam family "Bacterial small subunit ribosomal RNA", at positions 29 to 507 of the family's 1533-position model. The record is from RNAcentral.
AGUGAACGCUGGCGGUAGGCCUAACACAUGCAAGUCGAACGGCAGCACAGUAAGAGCUUGCUCUUACGGGUGGCGAGUGGCGGACGGGUGAGGAAUACAUCGGAAUCUACUUUUUCGUGGGGGAUAACGUAGGGAAACUUACGCUAAUACCGCAUACGACCUACGGGUGAAAGUAGGGGAUCUUCGGACCUUGCGCGAUUGAAUGAGCCGAUGUCGGAUUAGCUAGUUGGCGGGGUAAAGGCCCACCAAGGCGACGAUCCGUAGCUGGUCUGAGAGGAUGAUCAGCCACACUGGAACUGGGACACGGUCCAGACUCCUACGGGAGGCAGCAGUGGGGAAUAUUGGACAAUGGGCGGAAGCCUGAUCCAGCCAUACCGAGUGGGUGAAGAAGGCCUUCGGGUUGUAAAGCCCUUUUGUUGGGAAAGAAAAGCAGCAGGUUAAUACCACGCUGUUCUGACGGUACCCAAAGAAUAAGCACCGGCUAACUUCGUG